This 440-nucleotide ribosomal RNA is filed under the name uncultured bacterium. RNAcentral's name for it is "partial 16S ribosomal RNA". It matches the Rfam family "Bacterial small subunit ribosomal RNA", at positions 338 to 795 of the family's 1533-position model. The record is from RNAcentral.
CCUACGGGUGGCUGCAGUGGGGAAUAUUGCACAAUGGGGGAAACCCUGAUGCAGCUACGCCGCGUGAGUGAAGAAGUAUUUCGGUAUGUAAAGCUCUAUCAGCAGGGAAGAAAAUGACGGUACCUGAUUAAGAAGCACCGGCUAACUACUUGCCAGCAGCCGCGGUAAUACUGCGGGGGCAAGCGUUAUCCGGAUUUACUGGGUGUAAAGGGGACGUAGACGGCAGCACAAGUCUGGAGUGAAAUACCGGGGCUUAACCCCGGAACUGCUUUGGAAACUGUUCAGCUACAGUGCAGGAGAGGUAGACGGAAUGCCUAGUGUAGCGGUGAAAUGCGUAGAUAUGAGGAGGAACACCAGUGGCGAAGGCGGCUUACUGGACUGUAACUGACGUUGAGGCGCGAAAGCGUGGGGAGCAAACAGGAUUAGAUACCCCAGUAGUC